Molecule: long non-coding RNA, 154 nt
Organism: Perognathus longimembris pacificus (Pacific pocket mouse)
Lineage: Eukaryota; Metazoa; Chordata; Mammalia; Rodentia; Heteromyidae
Exons: 3
Source: RefSeq, a predicted model, not a curated record
CAAAAGGUCCUUUGUGGAGGUCAGGAAGACUAUCUUAGCUCUAACAGGUCACACUGGUUUGCUUUUGACUCCUAUGAAUAUUUUGGCAGAGAACUUCCCUUGUGAUGUGAAAUUCAACUCCUACCUACUUACCUCAAAAUUUAAAAAUCAGGUA